RNAcentral lists this long non-coding RNA (301 nucleotides) under Capsicum annuum. Its description in RNAcentral is "long non-coding RNA (CANN_LNC001562)". Lineage: Eukaryota; Viridiplantae; Streptophyta; Magnoliopsida; Solanales; Solanaceae. The record is from RNAcentral.
CCAUUUCAUAUUUUUCCAUCGAAUAAUAUUGAGAGGAGUGAUCGUAAACCUUAGGUCCAUAUUUUUCACUGUAUUGAGCUCGAAGUACUGCCAUAGCAUGUGGACAGGGUAUCUUGUCCAAGUCAAAAACUCUGUACGUACAAGAUCUUAUUUAAAGAUCGACUAUGGCAAAUCACCAUGACCGGUUAUACUGAAUUUGUAAUCUGCUAUUUUAUGAGAUAAUAACCUAUUCCCCAAACUGAUGUUCGUUGAUAUUAUUUUUUUCAAUUUCUAAAACAAAUGGGGCUCUUCUUAGGCCCUU